GCAUAACAUAUUAACCAGUAACUACUCCGUAAUCUGUAACACUACAUGAAUUGCAGUCCAUGCGAAUCUUGAUGACGGAUUGCAUAUCUGAACAAUAUUUACAUUUUAUUUAUUUUGUGAUACAAGUCAUAACUUGUAUCACAAAAUAAAUAAAAAUCUGUAAAUAUUGUUCAGAUAUGCAAUCCGUCAUCAAGAUUCGCAUGGACUGCAAAAUGGGAUGGGUGGUAAUUUCAAAAGUACUUUGCUGCAGAGGUCAUACACCUUUGCUUGCAAGUGACACAAUGAGGCUUACUGAUCCAAGCAGGAAACUAUACAGACGAAGAGUUGAAAACUGAUUGGUCUAUUUUCCCGCACGCAUGGGAAGAGAUUCGACAAUGGUUUGUUGUUAAUUCAGCCUUGCGCUUUGCACGUGUAUGAUCAUUGUACUACAGAAUAAUGAUUUUGGUCGCGUAAGACACCUGGAACCUAGCUUAGCCACUUUUCUCUCCCCUAAGUGGCCCUACUGGUUGUCUCCCUAUACUGUGUCCGAACGCUUGUUUCAUUAACUUAAGUUCAUAAUGCUAUGGGCAUGUAUAAACUUGCUGUACAAAGAAUGUCUUACUUGAUGUCUCAGUUUUUGGUAGCCAGAAGUGGUUGCGUGAUCAGUAACAUUAACUGACCUUCUUUCUUGAAAUUUUCAGCAAACAGAUGGAGUUACUGAAAGGAGACCGUUCGAUCGUGAAACUGACUUGGGUGUCAGACAAAUGGAUGCUGCGAAACGAAAAUCUUUAAUAAAACAAUCAACACAUUUGAAUUCUAAGUUUGCACAUUCGAAACAAGGGCCUACAUAUUUAUGAAAAUCUCGAGUGUGAGACCAGGAAUAAUACGAAAUCUAGAACCGUAACUUACGUGAGACAUUAAUAUACGGCCUGUACAAUCGUGUGUGAGACAUCAUCACAUUAAGACACUCUGGGCAUCAACAUAUCGUUCAACGUUCCAAACCACCACAAGCCUACAUGUACACCAGCUGCACUGUUUCGAGAGCCGCCCGUAAGACCGGCUUAAGGCCUGAUUCCACGGGAGCUUUUUCUCGGCGAAAUGCGAAAUAUUUCGCCUGUGUCUUUUGAAUUGCGACCACUCGAAUAAAUUAUUUCUACUUGAUUGCUCACAAUUCAAAAGAAACAAGCGAAAUAUUUCGCAUUUCGCCGAGAAAAAGCGCCCGUGGAAUCAGGCCUUUAUAAAGGAUGGUUGGAUUUCCGUGAAUUCUAAUAAAAUUAUUAUCAAUAUAACUGUUGUCUUGUUCAAAGUACUGUAUUCUCUGGA
This is a non-coding RNA of Paramuricea clavata, 1302 nucleotides long. The record is from the annotation of a GenBank genome assembly. Lineage: Eukaryota; Metazoa; Cnidaria; Anthozoa; Malacalcyonacea; Plexauridae.